Trichomalopsis sarcophagae is the source of this 47-nucleotide non-coding RNA. The record is from Rfam. Lineage: Eukaryota; Metazoa; Arthropoda; Insecta; Hymenoptera; Pteromalidae.
AAAUCGGUCCUUCUCAGGACCAUCACACCCUCUCAUUGCCGCGUUGU